GAAUCGCUAGUAAUCGCAGAUCAGCAAGCUGCGGUGAAUACGUUCCCGGGUCUUGUACACACCGCCCGUCAAACCAUGAAAGUGACCAACACCCGAAGUCCGAUUCGUCGGCCUAAGGUGGGGGGCAUGAUUGGGGUUAAGUCGUAACAAGGUAUCCGUACCGGAAGGUGCGGAUGGAUUACCUCCUUUCUAGGGAG
Molecule: ribosomal RNA, 197 nt
Filed under: TM7 phylum sp. oral taxon 346
Lineage: Bacteria; Candidatus Saccharimonadota
Description: partial 16S ribosomal RNA
Rfam family: Bacterial small subunit ribosomal RNA
Source: RNAcentral